CCUACGGGUGGCAGCAGUGAGGAAUAUUGGUCAAUGGGCGAGAGCCUGAACCAGCCAAGUCGCGUGAGGGAGUACUGCCCUAUGGGUUGUAAACCUCUUUUGUCGGGGAGCAAAAGCCGGACGUGUCCGGCUGUGAGAGUACCCGAAGAAAAAGCAUCGGCUAACUCCGUGCCAGCAGCCGCGGUAAUACGUAGGGGGCAAGCGUUAUCCGGAUUUACUGGGUGUAAAGGGUGCGUAGGUGGCAGGGCAAGUCAGAUGUGAAAGCCCGGGGCUCAACCCCGGUACUGCAUUUGAAACUGUCCAGCUGGAGUGCAGGAGAGGUAAGCGGAAUUCCUAGUGUAGCGGGGAAAUGCGUAGAUAUUAGGAGGAACACCAGUGGCGAAGGCGGCUUACUGGACUGUAACUGACACUGAGGCACGAAAGCGUGGGGAGCAAACAGGAUUAGAUACCCCUGUAGUC
This 459-nucleotide ribosomal RNA is filed under the name uncultured bacterium. RNAcentral's name for it is "partial 16S ribosomal RNA". It matches the Rfam family "Bacterial small subunit ribosomal RNA", at positions 338 to 795 of the family's 1533-position model. The record is from RNAcentral.